This 488-nucleotide ribosomal RNA is filed under the name uncultured archaeon. RNAcentral's name for it is "bacterial SSU rRNA". It matches the Rfam family "Archaeal small subunit ribosomal RNA", at positions 165 to 656 of the family's 1478-position model. The record is from RNAcentral.
GAUUUCUGGAAUGAUUCUUGGUCAAAAUCUAUAUGGCCUCUGGAUUGGACUGCGGCCGAUCAGGCUGUUGGUGAGGUAAUGGCCCACCAAACCUAUAACCGGUACGGGCUCUGAGAGGAGAAGCCCGGAGAUGGGCACUGAGACAAGGGCCCAGGCCCUAUGGGGCGCAGCAGGCGCGAAACCUUUGCAAUAGGCGAAAGCCUGACAAGGUUACUCUGAGUGAUUUCCGCUAAGGGGAUCUUUUGACACCUCUAAAAAUGGUGUAGAAUAAGGGGUGGGCAAGUCUGGUGUCAGCCGCCGCGGUAAUACCAGCACCCCGAGUGGUCGGGACGAUUAUUGGGCCUAAAGCAUCCGUAGCCGGUUUUACAAGUCUUCCGUUAAAUCCAGCCGCUCAACGGAUGGGCUGCGGAGGAUACUGUAGAACUAGGAGGCGGGAGAGGCAAGCGGUACUUAGUGGGUAGGGGUAAAAUCCCCUGAUCCAUUGAAGA